This 85-nucleotide transfer RNA is filed under the name Felis catus (domestic cat). It matches the Rfam family "tRNA". From Rfam's summary of the family: Transfer RNA (tRNA) molecules are approximately 80 nucleotides in length. Lineage: Eukaryota; Metazoa; Chordata; Mammalia; Carnivora; Felidae. The record is from Rfam by way of RNAcentral.
GCCCGGGUGGCUCAGUCGGUCAAGUGUUUGACUUUAGCUCAGGUCGUGAUCUCACGGUUCGUGAGUUCGAGCCCCGCCUUGGGCU